Molecule: ribosomal RNA, 490 nt
Filed under: uncultured bacterium
Lineage: Bacteria
Description: partial 16S ribosomal RNA
Rfam family: Bacterial small subunit ribosomal RNA
Source: RNAcentral
GAUGAACGCUAGCUACAGGCUUAACACAUGCAAGUCGCGGGGCAGCAUGGGGGUUGCUUGCAAUCCCCGAUGGCGACCGGCGCACGGGUGAGUAACGCGUAUCCAACCUGCCCUUCACCACGGGAUAACCCGGCGAAAGUCGGACUAAUACCGUAUGUUGUCCAUUGACGGCAUCCGAUUUGGACGAAAGGUUUGGCGGGGAAGGAUGGGGAUGCGUCCGAUUAGCUGGACGGCGGGGUGACGGCCCACCGGGGCGACGAUCGGUAGGGGUUCUGAGAGGAAGGUCCCCCACACUGGAACUGAGACACGGUCCAGACUCCUACGGGAGGCAGCAGUGAGGAAUAUUGGUCAAUGGGCGUAAGCCUGAACCAGCCAAGUAGCGUGCAGGAUGACGGCCCUAUGGGUUGUAAACUGCUUUUAUGCGGGGAUAAAGUGGCCCACGUGUGGGUUUUUGCAGGUACCGCAUGAAUAAGGACCGGCUAAUUCCGUG